AGGCGGUUAGCUCAGUUGGUUAGAGCGUUACGUUGACAUCGUAGAGGUCACCAGUUCGAAUCUGGUACCGCCUA
This 74-nucleotide transfer RNA is filed under the name Parendozoicomonas haliclonae. It matches the Rfam family "tRNA". From Rfam's summary of the family: Transfer RNA (tRNA) molecules are approximately 80 nucleotides in length. Their secondary structure includes four short double-helical elements and three loops (D, anti-codon, and T loops). Further hydrogen bonds mediate the characteristic L-shaped molecular structure. tRNAs have two regions of fundamental functional importance: the anti-codon, which is responsible for specific mRNA codon recognition, and the 3' end, to which the tRNAs corresponding amino acid is attached (by aminoacyl-tRNA synthetases). tRNAs cope with the degeneracy of the genetic code in two manners: having more than one tRNA (with a specific anti-codon) for a particular amino acid; and 'wobble' base-pairing, i.e. permitting non-standard base-pairing at the 3rd anti-codon position. Lineage: Bacteria; Pseudomonadati; Pseudomonadota; Gammaproteobacteria; Oceanospirillales; Endozoicomonadaceae. The record is from Rfam by way of RNAcentral.